UACGAAGGGGGCUAGCGUUGUUCGGAAUCACUGGGCGUAAAGGGCGCGUAGGCGGCUUUAUAAGUCGGGGGGUGAAAGCCUGUGGCUCAACCACAGAAUUGCCUUCGAUACUGUAGAGCUUGAGACCGGAAGAGGUAAGUGGAACUGCGAGUGUAGAGGUGAAAUUCGUAGAUAUUCGCAAGAACACCAGUGGCGAAGGCGGCUUACUGGUCCGGUUCUGACGCUGAGGCACGCGAAAGCGUGGGGAGCAAACAGG
This 256-nucleotide ribosomal RNA is filed under the name uncultured bacterium. RNAcentral's name for it is "partial 16S ribosomal RNA". It matches the Rfam family "Bacterial small subunit ribosomal RNA", at positions 524 to 776 of the family's 1533-position model. The record is from RNAcentral.